GAUGAACGCUGGCGGCGUGCCUAACACAUGCAAGUCGAGCGAACAGACGAGGAGCUUGCUCUUCUGACGUUAGCGGCUGACGGGUGAGUAACACGUGGAUAACCUACUUAUAUGACUUGGAUAAUUUCGGGAAACCGGAGCUAAUACUGGAUCAUAUGUUGAACCGCAUGGUUCAAUAGUUAAUGACGGCUUUGCUGUCUCUUAUAGAUGGAUCCGCGCCGCAUUAGCUAGUUGGUAAGGUAACGGCUUACCAAGGCUACGAUGCGUAGCCGACCUGAGAGGGUGAUCGGCCACACUGGAACUGAGACACGGUCCAGACUCCUACGGGAGGCAGCAGUAGGGAAUCUUCCGCAAUGGGCGAAAGCCUGACGGAGCAACACCGCGUGAGUGAUGAAGGUCUUCGGAUCGUAAAACUCUGUUAUUGGGGAAGAACAACUGUGUAAGUAACUAUGCACGUCUUGACGGUACCUAAACAGAAAGCCCCGGCUAACUACGUG
This 497-nucleotide ribosomal RNA is filed under the name uncultured bacterium. RNAcentral's name for it is "partial 16S ribosomal RNA". It matches the Rfam family "Bacterial small subunit ribosomal RNA", at positions 28 to 507 of the family's 1533-position model. The record is from RNAcentral.